UUUUUUUAUUAAUAUUUUCUUCUUUCCAGUUAACGAACAGUCGUCUUCUUUCGUUCAUAUAUGAAGAUGAGAGACGGCGUUUUGAGGCGGAAGGAAAUAACUCUCGACCCCCUAAAAUUCUUGUGUUAUCUGGUUCGGUUUUCAAGUGAUAACCUCUCUCUUAGAUCUGGGUUUUGCUCCAUAAGACUUUUUAGGUAAUCAAAUUUUUGGGUAAUUGACACAGGUAUCUUCUCUAUAUUUCUUAUCCAUACUCAUGCUACCAGGGGUGUAUCUGAAUGUGUGGAUUUCAAUAUUGGCGGCCUUCAAAGUGAAGUGAAGAAGUUAGUCUCGGCUUUAAUCCUUAUUGGCGGUUACUAGCUAACUGAUGUGUUACUCAAAU
Molecule: small RNA, 379 nt
Filed under: Arabidopsis thaliana (thale cress)
Lineage: Eukaryota; Viridiplantae; Streptophyta; Magnoliopsida; Brassicales; Brassicaceae
Description: ATSL097520
Source: RNAcentral